GAUCCAAUAUCCCAUAAUUAAAUCAAAUAAAAUUUUUGACUGAUUUUUUGAUGUGUGUAACCCUUUGUGUUUACAUCUAGCCAAUAGUAGGUCUAGAUUUAUGUUGACCCAAAUUGAUUAGAGUCCAUCUAAUCGAAUUAGAUCAAACCGAUGCAUAUCUAAGUUGUCAAAUUAGAACCCUUCCUAAUUGACUCAUGAAUU
This 201-nucleotide long non-coding RNA is filed under the name Elaeis guineensis (African oil palm). RNAcentral's name for it is "long non-coding RNA (EGUI_LNC057317)". The record is from RNAcentral. Lineage: Eukaryota; Viridiplantae; Streptophyta; Magnoliopsida; Arecales; Arecaceae.